ACGCUGGCGGCGUGCCUAAUACAUGCAAGUAGAACGCUGAAGAGAGGAGCUUGCUCUUCUUGGAUGAGUUGCGAACGGGUGAGUAACGCGUAGGUAACCUGCCUUGUAGCGGGGGAUGACUAUUGGAAACGAUAGCUAAUACCGCAUAACAAUAGGUGACACAUGUCAUUUAUUUGAAAGGGGCAAUUGCUCCACUACAAGAUGGACCUGCGUUGUAUUAGCUAGUAGGUGAGGUAACGGCUCACCUAGGCGACGAUACAUAGCCGACCUGAGAGGGUGAUCGGCCACACUGGGACUGAGACACGGGCCAGACUCCUACGGGAGGCAGCAGUAGGGAAUCUUCGGCAAUGGGGGCAACCCUGACCGAGCAACGCCGCGUGAGUGAAGAAGGUUUUCGGAUCGUAAAGCUCUGUUGUAAGUCAAGAACGAGUGUGAGAGUGGAAAGUUCACACUGUGACGGUAGCUUACCAGAAAGGGACGGCUAACUACGUGCCAGCAGCCGCGGUAAUACGUAGGUCCCGAGCGUUGUCCGGAUUCAUUGGGCGUAAAGCGAGCGCAGGCGGUUUGAUAAGUCUGAAGUUAAAGGCUGUGGCUCAACCAUAGUUCGCUUUGGAAACUGUCAAACUUGAGUGCAGAAGGGGAGAGUGGAAUUCCAUGUGUAGCGGUGAAAUGCGUAGAUAUAUGGAGGAACACCGGUGGCGAAAGCGGCUCUCUGGUCUGUAACUGACGCUGAGGCUCGAAAGCGUGGGGAGCGAACAGGAUUAGAUACCCUGGUAGUCCACGCCGUAAACGAUGAGUGCUAGGUGUUGGAUCCUUUCCGGGAUUCAGUGCCGCAGCUAACGCAUUAAGCACUCCGCCUGGGGAGUACGACCGCAAGGUUGAAACUCAAAGGAAUUGACGGGGGCCCGCACAA
This 913-nucleotide ribosomal RNA is filed under the name uncultured bacterium. Its description in RNAcentral is "bacterial SSU rRNA". It matches the Rfam family "Bacterial small subunit ribosomal RNA", at positions 33 to 928 of the family's 1533-position model. The record is from RNAcentral.